GACGAACCGUGCGAACGUUGUUCGGAAUCACUGGGCUUAAAGGGCGCGUAGGCGGGUUUUCAAGUCUGUGGUGAAAGCCUCCAGCUUAACUGGAGAAGUGCCGUGGAUACUGGAGACCUCGAGGAGGGUAGGGGCAUCUGGAACAGCCGGUGGAGCGGUGAAAUGCGUAGAUAUCGAGAGGAACACCUGCGGCGAAGGCGGGUUGCUGGGCUGACACUGACGCUGAAGCGCGAAAGCUAGGGGAGCGAACAGG
RNAcentral lists this ribosomal RNA (253 nucleotides) under uncultured bacterium. Its description in RNAcentral is "partial 16S ribosomal RNA". It matches the Rfam family "Bacterial small subunit ribosomal RNA", at positions 524 to 776 of the family's 1533-position model. The record is from RNAcentral.